UACGUAGGCAGCGAGCGUUGUUCGGAGUUACUGGGCGUAAAGCGUGCGUAGGCGGUGCCAUAAGUCUGUUGUGAAAUCUCCCGGCUCAACUGGGAGGGUGCGGUGGAAACUGUGGUGCUGGAGUGUGGGAGAGGUAGGCGGAAUUCCUGGUGUAGCGGUGAAAUGCGUAGAUAUCAGGAGGAACACCUGUGGUGUAGACGGCUUACUGGACCAUGACUGACGCUGAGGCACGAAAGCGUGGGGAGCAAACAGG
This 253-nucleotide ribosomal RNA is filed under the name uncultured bacterium. Its description in RNAcentral is "partial 16S ribosomal RNA". It matches the Rfam family "Bacterial small subunit ribosomal RNA", at positions 524 to 776 of the family's 1533-position model. The record is from RNAcentral. RNAcentral also lists the same sequence under 1 other name.